UCAGGAGGGGAUGCUCUGACGUUGUGUGCAUCCUACAGCAUCCUGUAACCCAGACCUGUACCUCAACAGAGCUACACUGCAUAAAUAUGAGGAGAAUUACACAGGGGCCCUGGAAGGGUUUUCCCAUGCAGCAGCCCUUGAUCCAGCCUGGCCCGAACCCCAGCAGUGCCAGCAGCAGCUCCUGGAUUUCUUGUAGCAUCUCACCAGCCUCCUGGAGAUCAAGGGCAAAGUGAAGGGUAAGAAGUGGCAGAGCAUGCUGGGAAGCCUGCACCCAUCCCAGCUGGGCCCCUGUGGGGAUGGGUAGUACCAGGGUUCCUCGGGACAGAAGGCGGCACUGGAGCAUCGGCCCUUGAGAGCCCUGCAGCCGGGCGUGAACACGGGGGCCGUAGUGCUGGGUAGGGUGGUCGUCAGCCUCACCACAGACAAGAAGGUGCCCU
Molecule: long non-coding RNA, 437 nt
Organism: Dermochelys coriacea (leatherback sea turtle)
Lineage: Eukaryota; Metazoa; Chordata; Testudines; Dermochelyidae
Exons: 3
Source: RefSeq, a predicted model, not a curated record